Non-coding RNA from Schistocerca piceifrons (Central American locust), 74 nucleotides. The record is from the annotation of a RefSeq genome assembly. Lineage: Eukaryota; Metazoa; Arthropoda; Insecta; Orthoptera; Acrididae.
GUCGUCGGUGGCUCAGCGGAGUGAGCGUUUGCCUUGUAAGCAGGAGAUCCCGGGUUAGAGUCCCGGUCGGGGCA